Long non-coding RNA from Carassius auratus (goldfish), 1505 nucleotides. RefSeq lists it as uncharacterized. The transcript has 3 exons. Lineage: Eukaryota; Metazoa; Chordata; Actinopteri; Cypriniformes; Cyprinidae. The record is from RefSeq and is a predicted model, not a curated record.
AAAAUAUAGAAGUCCUUUCAGGACUGGGUGCAUUCUACAUCUCUGCUGAACAGGAAAUAGGGAAAAGAGGGGGUAAUGCAGGAGAAAGACAGCAGUACUGGCAAAUAUUUUAAUCACCGGUGAUAUUUGGAUGGCCUCAUUGCCCAUCUCGAGAGACAUUUCUGUGAGGUUGGAAUUGUGGCUGCAUUUGGAAUACUCGGUCCACAAGCAGUUACACCCCCUGAUGACACUGCACACACAAUGAUGAUUACACUGAGGAUACUAGUAGAGAAGUUUUGUUCAUGUGUCGAUUUUGAGCAGUCCUUGAAGAAUGGGCUUCUUUCAAGGAGCAAGUGGUCUCAGGUCCACUUAAGAACAAGACACAGCUGGAAAUAUUGUCCUCAAAAUAUGAGGAGUUUAGUGUCCUGUACCCAACUGUGAGCUUGCUGGCUUCUAUUGCUCUGACGUUCCCAGUCAGUAGUGUAAACUGUGAAAGGGACUUCUCAACCAUAAACAGGGUAAUACAAACUUUUCACAAUAGGAUUUGCUGCUUUUAGCUAUAUGUUGCUAUCACAUUUAACAGUUAAUGCAUUUGCAGGUCAAGACAAACAUCCACAAUAGACUGCAAGGAGACAAACUUGCUGCAUGCAUGUAGAUCUCAAUAAAUUGGCCAUUUCAAGAGGCUCUGGAAAUGUUCUUCCAGAAGCCAAGAAAUAUACACUGCAGUGACAAAAGCUGCACACUUUGUGGAUAAAUAACAUGUUUAGUGUACAGCCUUAUAAUUGUUUCAUUUAAUAUAUUCACUGCUGCCAUUAAAAAAAGCAAAUGAACACCAUGACUCCUUUAAGUCUUUGUGUCUGUGUCAAUUUGUGAAUGCUGAGCUGAUGUCUAUGAACAGCAGCUGGUCUGCACAUCCUCUGAGCAUUUUGCCUGCAAUAUUGUCUGGUCCUUCAGCUUUUCGUGGGUUAACUCUGCUCAAAGUCUUCCUCACAUCAUCUCUGGAGAAACACGGUAUGUGAUCAUGGGGAGGUGGGAUGAACUUCCUUCGCAAUGGUGUCAUUAUGUGCCUCAAAACGUGCAUAAAAGUCAUUCAGUGCAUCUGGGAGGGAGGUUACAGGCAGGUGGUGAUGACCUGUAGUUGGUGAUGGUUUGGAUGCCUUGCCACAUAUGCAGAGUGUUGAUGCUGUCCCUGAACUGGUUGUGGAUUCUCUGGGAGUAUGUGCACUUUGCUUUUCUGAUUGCCUGAGACAGUUUGGCCCUUGCUUCUCUUAGUGCUGCCUUAUCAGCCGUUUUGAAGGGAGAGUCAUCCAUGGUUUCUGGUUGGUGUGUGUAGUGAUUGUCGUUGGAGUAUUUGAUGUCAUCUGUCACGGGCCGGUAAGGACCACCAAAGAAGGGUCUGGGUCAAAAAUGCAGGGGAAAAAACUCCUUUUAAUAAACAAAAGCCAACAAGGCAAAAACAAAACAGACAAGAUAACCAGGACAAGGGCAGAAGCAGUAGAAAUGCAAGACACGAGCAACAAUUAACA